RNAcentral lists this ribosomal RNA (599 nucleotides) under uncultured bacterium. RNAcentral describes it as "bacterial SSU rRNA". It matches the Rfam family "Bacterial small subunit ribosomal RNA", at positions 41 to 686 of the family's 1533-position model. The record is from RNAcentral.
AUCAGGCCUAACACAUGCAAGUCGAGCGCGCCCUUCGGGGUGAGCGGCGGACGGGUUAGUAACGCGUGGGAAUAUACCCUUUGGUACGGAAUAGCCUCUGGAAACGGAGAGUAAUACCGUAUGAGCCCUUCGGGGGAAAGAUUUAUCGCCAAAGGAUUAGCCCGCGUUAGAUUAGGUAGUUGGUGGGGUAAUGGCCUACCAAGCCUACGAUCUAUAGCUGGUUUUAGAGGAUGAUCAGCAACACUGGGACUGAGACACGGCCCAGACUCCUACGGGAGGCAGCAGUGGGGAAUCUUGGACAAUGGGGGCAACCCUGAUCCAGCCAUGCCGCGUGAGUGAUGAAGGCCUUAGGGUCGUAAAGCUCUUUCGCCUGUGAAGAUAAUGACGGUAGCAGGUAAAGAAACCCCGGCUAACUCCGUGCCAGCAGCCGCGGUAAUACGGAGGGGGUUAGCGUUGUUCGGAAUUACUGGGCGUAAAGCGCACGUAGGCGGAUCGGAAAGUUGGGGGUGAAAUCCCGGGGCUCAACCCCGGAACUGCCUCCAAAACUAUCGGUCUAGAGUUCGAGAGAGGUGAGUGGAAUUCCGAGUGUAGAGGUGAAA